UGGGGAAUUUUGGACAAUGGGCGAAAGCCUGAUCCAGCCAUUCCGCGUGAGUGAAGAAGGCCUUCGGGUUGUAAAGCUCUUUCGCAAGGGAAGAAAACUUAUAUUCUAAUAAAGUAUGAGGAUGACGGUACCUUGAUAAGAAGCACCGGCUAACUACGUGCCAGCAGCCGCGGUAAUACGUAGGGUGCGAGCGUUAAUCGGAAUUACUGGGCGUAAAGCGUGCGCAGGCGGUUUUGAAAGUCAGAUGUGAAAUCCCCGAGCUCAACUUGGGAACUGCGUUUGAAACUCCAAAGCUAGAGUAUAGGAGAGGGGGGUAGAAUUCCACGUGUAGCAGUGAAAUGCGUAGAGAUGUGGAGGAAUACCAAUGGCGAAGGCAGCCCCCUGGCCUAAUACUGACGCUCAGGUGCGAAAGCGUGGGGAGCAAACA
This 427-nucleotide ribosomal RNA is filed under the name uncultured bacterium. RNAcentral's name for it is "partial 16S ribosomal RNA". It matches the Rfam family "Bacterial small subunit ribosomal RNA", at positions 355 to 774 of the family's 1533-position model. The record is from RNAcentral.